This 356-nucleotide long non-coding RNA is filed under the name Hordeum vulgare. RNAcentral's name for it is "long non-coding RNA (HVUL_LNC008518)". The record is from RNAcentral. Lineage: Eukaryota; Viridiplantae; Streptophyta; Magnoliopsida; Poales; Poaceae.
AGUCAACAUUUUUUCAAAUCUUUUUUUACAAUUUUUGUUUGUAAUAUAUAUACACUAAAAAUACUUUAUCAAUAGAACUUGUACCAGCCAGAAAUAAAAUUUAUCCACAGAAAUUUUGGACUGCUAGUUGAAUGUGCAAACCAGAGAAGAAGCAAAGAAAGAAGAAACAGCACGCUGGCCAGAUCUUCAGCGAGAGAAAGCAAGCUCUCAUCUCGUGCCACCCGGAUUUUAGACCGGCCUGCUCGUUCCCGGCCCAGCGGAAAAGAAGGCCCAACAAACAAUGGCUUACUCAUCCGGCUAGCCCAACAAACAACGCACGCAGCGACACUGGGAGCAGCCCUGCUCGGAAAAAAAAA